GCGCAUGGUGUGUGCAUACGUAAGGGCAAGUAGAGGCACAUGCUCUGAAGAACAACGGAGAACAACGGAGAGUCCGAGACCGUGGGUACUUCGGUCAGUGUUGGCCCAGAAUGAAAAACACACCCCUUAUAAUCCGCGGAGGAUGUAAUCCACGACAUUAAUAACUGGUGUCAUGUCUGGAUUAGAUGUUCGAGUGCUACAAUGUACACCUUGUUCUUAACAAGUGCCACGAGGACUCAGUGUCAUCAUCUUGGGGUCUUCUUACUGCCAGUAAGUAGCUGUGUGAUUUAGUGUAGGGCAUGUAAACUCCCUGUGCCUCAGUUUCCUAAAUCAAAUUUGAAGAGGUUGAGUUAAUUACUAAGACUCCUUUUAGAGCCAAAAAACCCCAUGAUUAAAUAAUAUUUUUCUGUAAGCAUUAUAAUUUAUUCCUCAUUGGGAGGAACAUGCUCUGUGUCACCAUCACAUGUAGGAUAUCUAUAGAUGAUCAGUAUCCAAGUUUAGGAAAAGUAUCAAAUACCUCAGUACAUAAAUUUGUUAACGUUUGGGUUGUUGGGGGUUUUUUUGUGUGUAUAUUUUUUAAUUAGUUCCUUUCUGAGGAUUGUGUCCAUUAAGAUACUUCAUGCUCAGCCAGUAUGUUUAUUAUUUUUCAAUAGUAUGCUUUAAAUAAAGGAGAGAACUUUAUUUGA
Leopardus geoffroyi (Geoffroy's cat) is the source of this 686-nucleotide long non-coding RNA. RefSeq lists it as uncharacterized. The record is from RefSeq and is a predicted model, not a curated record. NCBI's taxonomy places the organism in Eukaryota, Metazoa, Chordata, Mammalia, Carnivora, Felidae. The transcript is spliced from 3 exons.